This 362-nucleotide ribosomal RNA is filed under the name uncultured rumen bacterium. RNAcentral's name for it is "partial 16S ribosomal RNA". The record is from RNAcentral.
UAUUCCCCACUGCUGCCUCCCGUAGGAGUCUGGGCCGUGUCUCAGUCCCAAUGAGGCCGUUCAACCUCUCAGUCCGGCUACCGAUCGUCGCCUUGGUGGGCCGUUACCCCGCCAACAAGCUAAUCGGACGCGAGUCCAUCUCUAAGCGAUAAAUCUUUGAUAUCAAAGUCAUGCGGCUUCAAUAUGUUAUGCGGUAUUAGCGAUCUUUUCAGAACGUUAUUCCCCUCUUAGAGGCAGGUUACUCACGCGUUACUCACCCGUCCGCCACUAAGUUAAAAAUCCGUCAUCCCGAAGGAAUCCGUCAAAAUAACUCCGUUCGACUUGCAUGUGUAGGCACGCCGCCAGCGUUCAUCCUGAGCCAA